GCCUCUUUAAUUCAGUCGGUAGAAUGGCGGACUUUUAAUCCGAGGGUCGCUGGUUCGAUUCCAGCAAGAGGUG
Molecule: transfer RNA, 73 nt
Filed under: Vibrio metschnikovii
Lineage: Bacteria; Pseudomonadati; Pseudomonadota; Gammaproteobacteria; Vibrionales; Vibrionaceae
Description: tRNA-Lys
Rfam family: tRNA
About the family: Transfer RNA (tRNA) molecules are approximately 80 nucleotides in length. Their secondary structure includes four short double-helical elements and three loops (D, anti-codon, and T loops).
Source: RNAcentral